UACGUAGGGGGCAAGCGUUAUCCAGAUUUACUGGGCGUAAAGCGCGUGUAGGCGGCUGGUUAGGCGUGAUGUGAAAUCUUCCGGCUCAACCGGAAAACUGCAUUGCGAACCGGCCUGGCUAGAGUGCAGGAGAGGGAAGCGGAAUUCCAGGUGUAGCGGUGAAAUGCGUAGAUAUCAGGAAGAACACCGAUGGCGAAAGCAGUCUGCUGGGCUUAUCCUAACACUGAGACACGAAAGCGUGGGGAGCGAACGGG
This 254-nucleotide ribosomal RNA is filed under the name uncultured bacterium. Its description in RNAcentral is "partial 16S ribosomal RNA". It matches the Rfam family "Bacterial small subunit ribosomal RNA", at positions 524 to 776 of the family's 1533-position model. The record is from RNAcentral.